UGGGGAAUUUUCCGCAAUGGGCGAAAGCCUGACGGAGCAAUACCGCGUGAGGGAAGAAGGCUUUUGGGUUGUAAACCUCUUUUCUUAAGGAAGAAAAAAAUGACGGUACUUAAGGAAUAAGCAUCGGCUAACUCCGUGCCAGCAGCCGCGGUAAUACGGAGGAUGCAAGCGUUAUCCGGAAUUAUUGGGCGUAAAGAGUCCGUAGGUGGUAUUUCAAGUCUGCUGUCAAAGGUCGGAGCUUAACUCCGGGAAGGCAGUGGAAACUGAGAAACUAGAGUGUAGUAGGGGUAGAGGGAAUUCCCCGUGUAGCGGUGAAAUGCGUAGAGAUGGGGAAGAACACCGGUGGCGAAAGCGCUCUGCUGGGCUACAACUGACACUGAGGGACGAAAGCUAGGGUAGCGAAAGGG
Molecule: ribosomal RNA, 407 nt
Filed under: uncultured Chroococcales cyanobacterium
Lineage: Bacteria; Bacillati; Cyanobacteriota; Cyanophyceae; Chroococcales
Description: bacterial SSU rRNA
Rfam family: Bacterial small subunit ribosomal RNA
Source: RNAcentral